This is a long non-coding RNA of Gallus gallus (chicken), 492 nucleotides long. The record is from Ensembl. NCBI's taxonomy places the organism in Eukaryota, Metazoa, Chordata, Aves, Galliformes, Phasianidae.
CUCACUGCAGGGAGCUCCUGCGGCUGCCAGUGAGUAAGGAAAACAGAUGGCUGUUGCUUUUGAAGCCACUAACACAUCCAUUUCUCUGCCUUUUGUGUAUUUUUUCUCUUUCCCCUCAAGUUUCCAACUCCUGCAGUAGCCCUGGGAGCAACCAGGCAUUGGUAGACAUGUUGGAAGGCAGCCACACAGGCGGAUUGGAAGAAAAGAGAUGGUGCCUUUAAGUACCAACCAGAACACCAGCUCAAAUUCAACAUCACAAGAAUUCAGUCAUCUUCUACUGUUUCUGUUUCAGAUGUUCUGCCUUAUCCCCCCGUCCAGACCAGAAACCUUGCUGUAACAUCAUAUUCUUUUUGUCCUAUAUGCAGGUUUCAGAUUUGUCUGACAAGUCUAUGAAUUGCCACUUCUCUGUGCACUGACCACCCACCUGCAUAAAACCUUACAAGAAAUACUUUCAAAAGCAUAUCAGUCCUGGACUCCAGAAAAAAAGUGUGG